Vicugna pacos (alpaca) is the source of this 2065-nucleotide non-coding RNA. The record is from RefSeq and is a predicted model, not a curated record. Lineage: Eukaryota; Metazoa; Chordata; Mammalia; Artiodactyla; Camelidae.
CCGCGCGCGCUGGGCUGGCGGGUGGCGCGCGCCUCUACCUCGACCCGGCUUUUCCCGCCUCCCUGGGGUUUUAAAGGCCCAGAGAAGGCUCCCUCGUCUCAGGCCUGGAGUUUCCUGCUCUGUGGACUCUUGCAGAACUCGCCCACGCAAGCUCUCGGCAGUCGCUGAAAAGGUGACAGAGGCCCAGUGAAAGGAAGUGAUUUUCCAAGGACACACCGGUUCUGAGAGUCCCUGCAGAGAUAAAGUGGUCAGGACGGCCUGAAGAAAUUUCUGUAGAUGGCCCUGGGAUAAGAAGGAGAAGUAACAAGUUUCCUGGCCUUCCCUGUGGAACUCCCAGCCUGGCUGGAGCUGAGUUGAUGGGGAUGAAGUCUAGACGGAGUCAGCCAGAGUCCAGGCGCCAUCGUCUCCCUGCUGCUCAGAGUGGCCUUUGGAGAAGACUUCCCAGAAAAGAUCCCAAAGAGUUCCAGUACCAGAGGUUGGUGAUGCAGAGAUGAAUUAGAUGCGGUCCCUGCCUCCACAAGGGUCUCAGCCCACUGCGGUAGACACAAGUACAGAGUCUGGCAGGCAGACAAGGUACAGAUGGAAAUCUUCCUGGACUCAGACCAAGAGGAGAAGAAAGGGUGGGAAAGGUUUGCCCCACGACCUGCAGUAGCACUGGGUAAACCCAACUCAGACUGAUACUGGGAGAUUAGCUGGAGGACUCGUGCCUUUGACCCCCACUGGCUGGUCCAGCGCUUCACCAAGUUCUGCAACAUCCAUGGCCUCUUGGACUUUUCACAACAGUGUGAUAGCUGAGGAAAUGGAGGCUCAGAAACAUUAAUGUCUUACCCCAGGCCACAGAGCUAACUGGUGAAAGGGCCCAGACAGCAAUCCCAGAUCUCCUAACAACUUGUCCAGUGCUUGUCCGUGAUGUGUUUCUGACCUCGUGGAUGGCAUCGCCCUUUCAUAGCUCUAACUGUCCCCCAUAGAGGGGUAAGAGGAGCAUCAGUGUUUAACUGGAAAUGCCCAUGCCCUCAGCACUCUGCUAUGAGCUCCAAGAGAUAAGAAGACAUAAAAGUUGUCCUUGUUCUCAAUGCUCAUUCAUUCAUUUACUCACUCAUUCAUGCAUUCCAAGAGUUCACGAGGUGUCAGACCCUGUGAGGAGGACCUAAUACUCCUCAAGGGGCUCACUAUGUAAUGAAGGAGACAGAAUCAGAAGUCAGCCACUCCCAUUCAAGGGGAGAAGCUAAAAUAAGGGUGUCCGGAGUGUGUUGAGCAUGCUCUCGACAGGACUUCACGUUGCCUGUGCGAUCCAGGGAGGCAUCCUGGAAAGGAGCUGAGUGUGGAAAGGUCUAUCGCUGCUGCGGGAGUGGGAUCUGACACCUGACACGACAGAGGCAGAGGCUCAGCACAGUCAGCAGCUCAGUGGACCUCCAGCCUCCCUAGAAGCUCCUCCUCUGGUGCCCUGAAGCCUUCUUCUGGGUCCUUAAGCAGAAGCAGAGUUCAGCGAGGGUUGACAGCAGUGGAUUUCUAGCUGGCUUUGAAGCCAUUGCAUCCUGCCUCAACUGCCGACUAGCUGUGUGACCUUGGGCAAGUUGCUUACUCACUCUGUUGCCUAGAUUUCCUUAUCUAUAAAGAUAGUAAUAGUACCUACCUCUUAAGGUUGUUGUGAUGAUUAAAUGAUUUAAUGUGUUUAAAGCACUUAGAACAGUGUAGAAGUGAUUGAGUGUGCAGUAAAGUGGGCUUUUAUUACCAUCACACUCAUUUGCUGGAGGGGAAUUAUGUGUUUACGGGUGUAUCUGACCAGUCCGGGAGUUCCUUGGGGGCAAGUAUCUUUGGGCCCAGCAGAGGGCCGGGGACAGAGCAGGCUGUCAGGGAAUAUCGGUUGAAUGGAAUGGAGAUGAUGGUGAAGACAGAUUCAAGAGCUAUUUAGGAGUUAAACUGUGCAUCCCUGGAGGACUGAUUGGACAUGAGGGAGAGGGUUAAUGAAGAGAAUAAAAUCAUUCCCAGGCUUUGUACCGGGACAGGAAGAGGACAGUGAUGCCAUGGCUGGGACAGGGAGUUUGAGAGAAGGAGUUGAUUCAGA